This 460-nucleotide ribosomal RNA is filed under the name uncultured bacterium. RNAcentral's name for it is "partial 16S ribosomal RNA". It matches the Rfam family "Bacterial small subunit ribosomal RNA", at positions 338 to 795 of the family's 1533-position model. The record is from RNAcentral.
CCUACGGGAGGCAGCAGUGAGGCAUAUUGGUCCCUGGGCGCUAUCCUUCACCCGCCCAGUCGCGUUACGGAUGACUGCCCUACGGGUUGUAAACUUCUUUUAUAAAGGAAUAAAGUGAGGCACGUGUGCCUUUUUGUAUGUACUUUAUGAAUAAGGAUCGGCUAACUCCGUGCCAGCAGCCGCGGUAAUACGGAGGAUCCGAGCGUUAUCCGGAUUUAUUGGGUUUAAAGGGAGCGUAGAUGGGUUGUUAAGUCAGUUGUGAAAGUUUGCGGCUCAACCGUAAAAUUGCAAUUGAUACUGGCAGCCUUGAGUACAGUUGAGGUAGGCGGAAUUCGUGGUGUAGCGGUGAAAUGCUUAGAUAUCACGAAGAACUCCGAUUGCGAAGGCAGCUUACUAAACUGCCACUGACAUUGAUGCUCGAAAGUGUGGGUAUCAAACAGGAUUAGAUACCCGAGUAGUC